AAAUACUUACUUCAAACUAAAAAUAUAAAAAAAAUUAAAUUUAAAAAUUAUUUAUAUAUAAUUUAAUAUACAAAAAUUUGCAUGCAAAUAAAAAUUAUAAAUGAAAAAAAUUUAAAUAUAUUAUCCGCGCAUAGCGCGGAAAAUGAUGUAAUAUACAUAAUACUUAUAUUAAGAACUCCGAAAGAACCCAUUGAAAGUGUUUUUAGGCCGCAGCGACAAGCUCUCACCUCGUCUCUCACCAGUUUAAUAUUGAAAUUAAAUGAAAAAAAUAGAAAAAAAGUGACAUUGAAUGAAGUACGUACCUGCAAGAAGAAAU
This 316-nucleotide long non-coding RNA is filed under the name Brassica rapa (field mustard). RNAcentral describes it as "long non-coding RNA (BRAP_LNC003850)". The record is from RNAcentral. Lineage: Eukaryota; Viridiplantae; Streptophyta; Magnoliopsida; Brassicales; Brassicaceae.